GGAGGAAUGGCCGAGCGGUUGAAGGCGGCGGUCUUGAAAACCGUUAGGGUCGGAAGGCCCUCGGGGGUUCGAAUCCCUCUUCCUCCGCCA
Molecule: transfer RNA, 90 nt
Filed under: Acidobacteriota bacterium
Lineage: Bacteria; Pseudomonadati; Acidobacteriota
Also listed under: 3 other names
Description: Acidobacteria bacterium tRNA-Ser
Rfam family: tRNA
About the family: Transfer RNA (tRNA) molecules are approximately 80 nucleotides in length. Their secondary structure includes four short double-helical elements and three loops (D, anti-codon, and T loops).
Source: RNAcentral